This is a long non-coding RNA of Megalops cyprinoides (Indo-Pacific tarpon), 249 nucleotides long. RefSeq lists it as uncharacterized. The record is from RefSeq and is a predicted model, not a curated record. The transcript has 3 exons. NCBI's taxonomy places the organism in Eukaryota, Metazoa, Chordata, Actinopteri, Elopiformes, Megalopidae.
UAUUUCUGAAAUGGACUGAUGUUUGUUACCUUUUUCAGCCAGAUCAAAUACAUCAACAGUUCUCAUGAUAACUUGGAUAGUACUACCUGUCCUGUUGGUCAUGCUUGUCAUUAUCAUUUAUGUUAACAGGGGAAAACUACUAAAAGAAGUGACAAAGUGGGCAAAUAGAAUACAGAAUGCCCACCCUGACCCCCACAAUGACUUGUACACAGCCCUCGACAUGGAGAACAGGACUUCUGAAUACGAGAC